UGGUUGGACCUCCAGGAGGGAAGGUAGAUUUCCUAAGUAUUUCCGGACAAGAGUCUGAUCACUGGAAUGAAGAUCCUCCCACCAGCUUAGCAACCUUGGGUGGAUGUUUGUGACCAUGCCGAAUUUGGGGACUUCGUGCCUCAUGUUUCUGCAAGACAAAAGGGUUAGGCCCUUACCCCCACUAGACUCGAUUAUUAAAUACCAAUAAUUGGCGUAAAAGCAUUUAGUUCUCCAAAUAAAUUCACAAAAUGUGAUAGUGUCCGUUUGGGUUUUUGGGAAACCCAGUGGACUUUGGACAAGGCUAUCUUAAAGAGUCAUUAUGCGGACAACAUAACUGACUCGGCUAGGUUUGACCAUGAUGCAUGCACAGUUUAAAUAGAGUAAGGUUUCUAUGGGGUUUUAGACCGGUACCCUUGAGCGGAUAACUCAAGAGGGAAAGACACAGAACCAUCAACUACACCGUUGAUCGACUGGUUUUAACGCAAAUAUGCCUUUGCCGGAUUUAAAAGGUGAUAAUAUCGGAAGAGCUCAACCACUCAUUAUAAGCGUUGCUAUGGUAUUUGUUUGGCACGAGUGGAAUAUGAUGUUGGAAACAUGCAUAUGCAAUAAUUAAAACAAGUUGUCACGUAUUUGCACGUUCAUAUAUAAUAAUUACAAUAAUUUAAAACAGUAAUAAAGGAGUGCAAUAAAGGAGAGCAGUGAAAGAAACAAGGGAAAGAGGCAAGAAACAAGUUAGUUUUUUGCAGUAGAAGAGGGAAUUAAAUGCUUAAAGGUAUUAAACAAAUAAGGCACAUAAGAAAUGUAAAGUCACGGUAAUAGGUUGAAAUGGUAGAAGCCUAAAAGAUAUCCCCAGCAGAGUUGCCACACUGUCACACCCUCUUUUUCUCGCGAAAUUGGGUUUAUGACAUUUGGGAGACAACUCGUUCCCGUUCGUGAAUUGGGUUUUGAAUUGAAGAGUCGUCACCUAAUGAUUAAAAGUGCAUUAGGACACUAGGAGGGGUUUGUUUUGAGUAACCAGAGAUUGGGUAAGGGCUUGAAAUUAUCCCAAGGGGAAGGUGUUAGGUACCUUUCAGGAUCCACUAGUGUGGUUCCCGACCAAACUAUUGUUGUGACUUAAGUGCAAAUAACACAUAGGCAAAUAAAUGCUUCAAAUAAGAGGGGAUUUUCACGUAAUGGUUACAAAUAAACAAAAGUAAGAAAAAAGAACUAAAAAGAGUUGAUUUUCUUAAAAGAAUUGGUUUAAAAAGAUUUAAAAGAAAUAAAGAAAACAAAGGGAAGGGGGGUCCUAGGUUUAUUAAUAAUAUGGAUCACCCCACACAACAUCCGGUAAUCACUCCUCAGUGAGGGGAUACACGUGAUGUUAUCGCAUGGUCAUCAUAUCCAUAUCUACCCUUUCCCUCCCUGUUAAGGUAUUAAAGCGCGUAAUGGUCUCGUUUACUUAUUGCAUGCUAUUACCCGCCCCAAUCCUAUCAGUCCCCGAGGCAUUUUGGACUACUAAUCCUAAAGGGAGGAAGUAUUGGGCUUAUUUGUGGUUUCAAAAGGUAAAAUACUAAGGCGACAAACAAAACACAUAUAGCAAGUUUGGGGAAAGCAUAUAAACAAAUAAAAGGGCUCAAACAGACCUUCUUUAAACCAAAGAAAGCACAUAAUGUAGCAUGACUUGCAUGUACUAUUUAAGGUCUGAUUAAAACUUAAAGGGUCGAGGCAGACUGAUUUAUUAUAUUGUUCAGAUAAGAAGCUCGAAUCAGGCCUGCCUGCUGGUUGUAGUAUACAAAAUCUGAUUCAGUUUAUAAACUUUUACCCUAUGGCUUUCCUAGGUGUUAGACGAAGACCCUAUAGGCAUUAUAUCUACCGAUUCCAGAAACAAUGAAGUAAACAUGAAUACAUACUGGUUUAAAAAAAAUCGUUUGUUAUUAAAGAAUGGCGAGUUUUAGAAAAAGAGCACAAGUUAUUUGUGACUGGUUUUAAACUUAUAAGCAAAUGAAACGGUUCAGAUUCGAUUGAAGCUCCUAUAGGCAUGCUUUCUAUGUGUUGUCGAUUUUGGACACUUUUACAAACACAUCGAGAGUGCAGAAAUCCUAUAGGCAUGACAUCUAAAUGUUGUACUUUGUUUAAGCCUAUAAACAUGAUAUCUAGAUGCAGUUAGUUAUUUAAGCCUAUAAACAGGUUUGCCUAGUGACAGAUGCGUAUGCAGGAUUCGGAUUUCCAGUUAACUACGAGCAUGGUAUCUAUAUAAGAGAUGCAGAAAUUUAACUAUAGGUAGGAUAUCCAUAUGAAUGCAGAAUUUCAAAAAACUAUAGGCAGGAUAUCUAUAUGGGUGUAGAAUUCCUUAUAGGCAUAGUAUCUACAUAUGAAAGUGCAGAAUUCCUAUAGGCAGGAUAUCUAUGUGAUAUGCAGAGAUCAGAAAUUCCCUAUGAGCAGGAUAUCUACCCUUUUUACAUACAAAGUUAUUCCCCCUUUUCACUGACCAUCCCCGAGAGUUUUAUUACAAAAUUAUUACAACCAAGAAAAAAGUAAAGUAAAGGAAAAAUACAUCAGAAAUUAAAAAGUACAACCAAGGACAGCGUGAUUCAGACUUCCUGUCUGAAGUAUGAAGUAAAUCAACUCCAAGAGAUCAUAUUUCAAAGCCUUUCUCCUAUAUGGGGUGUGUUAGAGUUCCCUAAGAGUCUCAUAUAAACUCCGGGCAGUGCUUACACCCAAAUGUAUCGCCAUAUUAAGCCAAGGUGCAGUGUAGAAGGGCCAAUCCUCAGGUGUCCAAGUUCAUAGGGAACUCAAGGUCCCAAGGCAAGGCUCAUAAGAGGGGGGCAGAACUUAGGAACUAAGAGAGAGUGCAAGUACAGAAUUCUAAAAUGGGGAAAGGGGAAGGGAAACAGUACACAUAGGGAUAUAGGGAAUGGGGAGUUGCAAGAGGUAAAAAGCAGGUUAGUGGGCAUAACCCAACAAUGGGAGAUGCUGGCACACCCAUAAUCCUACUGGAACACAUUGUUUAGAGGUUAGGAUUGUCACACCUCCUUUUUUACUACACCUCGUAAAGGGUAUAAAUUCAAGGGAGUUUUUCCAAUUAAAGGACAGUAGAAAUGAGAUUAUUUAUUUAAGAUUCAGAGUCACCACUUGGAAGAUUUAUGGUGUCCCAAGUCACCAGUUGAAUCCCGAAUCGAGGAAAAUAUGACUCUGUAAUGCAGUCCGCGAACUAGAAAUUCGAGUAAGGAAUUCUGUUAAUCUAGGAGAAGGUGUUAGGCAUUCCCGAGUUCCGUGGUUCUAGCACGGUCACUUUGAUCAUACUUGGCUUAUUAAAAUUAUUUAAUUACUGAUUUUAGAUCCUAUGUGCAUUUGCCUCUUUUAAUUAAGAAAUUAUCUUGAAAUGGGUCACGCUUACGUGUACCCGUUUGUUUGGAGCGUGAAAAAUCAUGUCACGCAAACGUGUCCACAAUUAAUAACGCUUUAUUAUUAUUAAGAAAAAUCUAGCCAAAGUUGCGCGAACGCAUAUUCCAGUUUUGUUUUUAGAAAUCGCAGUCAUGUCACGCGAAUGUGUCCACAACCACGAUAGUAUUUUAAACGCGCCUAAAGGCUUUUCUACAAGUGUUCAUUUCCAACAACUAAUUAUUAAUUUUGUGAGGGCCACAGGUGAUAUAAUUAAUUGGCACAACAUAAAAGAAACCGUACAAGUUUAGUGGCGCUUUGGGAAAUUAAGACCCAAUUGAUAAAGCCCUUGAAUUUCUCAACCCUUUCCUUUCUUAAUAAAAAAAUAUAUUGGCUGUGACAAAAUCUGGCUAUUUCUUUUCAAAAUUAAGCAUCUCAAUUAACUUAUCAAAGUCAACAAAUGCCUAAUGUAUUACUUAGGACAACUAAAUAAUCGAAUUUUAUAUGUACGACAGACCAAAUUCAUACGAUGGAUCUUAAAUUGAAGUAAUUAGAAUUUGUUUACUAAGCCCGAUAUUAUCAUUACAAGGGUAGAAAAGAUUACCUAAUACAUUAAGCUGCAUUCGAUGAACAAUGAGUCACAAAGCCGAUUGAUCCGUUGUGAAUACAAUCGAUUAAGAUCAAAAUGCAAGUAAGGCAUAGUAAUCCACAUAUAAUUCCAUCUUUUAGACAAUAAACUCAACUGAACCUCAGAUAUUUGAUAUGCCGAAAGGGGUAAAAAAUAAUUACCUUACCAACAAACUCAUAUUUGUACCCAAAUAAAGUGUUAGAUGAAAACUCAACAAAGGAAAUCAAAUCAAGAGAAUCUAAAAAACAACAACGGAACAGUAGAACAAUUAUGAAUCGUUCUAAAUCAUCAAAAAUUUAUAACAGAGUCAAACAUACACGUUCCAGACAAACAAUGAAAAUAAAACUAAGAUUGCUAAAAUGUUGGUUGAAAUGAGAAAGAGAACAAACCCUUUUGCUGAAUAUCUUUUCAAAUGUGAGAUUCGAAUUGAUUCGACCACAACGAGCUACUAACUGAACUAUGAACCUGCGACCUCGACAUAUUGAACCUCGGCGACUCAAACGGAACCUCCGAUCGAGACCUCAAAACUUGCUGGAACCGCGACAAAAUGCAACAACAACAGUGACUGCUUGUGUGUGUCGCUAUUUAGGAUUUAAAAGUGGUCUUCAACAUUUUUGAUUUUGUUGAGUAAGAAGGUAAAUGAUCAGGGGGUGGGCGUUGGCUUCUCCGGCGAGUUUGAGGUGGUGUGGGUCUGGUUCAGUGGUUUCGGUUGGGGGGAAGACGAUGAUCUUCAGGGGUGGGGGUCGNNNNN
RNAcentral lists this long non-coding RNA (4739 nucleotides) under Nicotiana tabacum (common tobacco). RNAcentral describes it as "long non-coding RNA (NTAB_LNC005738)". Lineage: Eukaryota; Viridiplantae; Streptophyta; Magnoliopsida; Solanales; Solanaceae. The record is from RNAcentral.